AGGAUUUAAUGCCCAGUGUAGCUGACGUUGAAACUCAGGUCUGUCUUCAGUGUGAAUCAAUUCAAAUACACUCUGGUGUAUAAUAUCAGAUUGUUGGAAACCCAGGUAGUCUUGGAUGGUAGAUGAGACGUAAAAAACCAGAGCAUCUGCCGUCACAACUAAUACGAAGCCAUUUAAUGCCUGCAGUAAGAGCUCUCCUUCCAGGAUCUGCAUCCCCUCUCCAAGUUUUGCUGUUCUGCUUUCCUGAAUGCCAUUUCUUUCUAGUCUUGUAGAGUUUGAAGAUUUUAAUGCAACAUCAAAAAAACUCUUGGCUCGCAAGUAACUGACGCUGAGCCUAAGCACAGACAACUUAUCCAAUUUGGCGAUAACAUCCUGAGGGAAAGGCAGAAGGCUUGCCAAGCGAUCCAACUCCGCAUUCAAACGGUCCCUGUGCCUCUUGGAUGGGUUGGAUUUGACUCCUUCAGCUGGAGAUGGCUUUACUAUUUUCUGCACAGGUUUCCGCCGCUUGCGACUAGCGUAGGUGACAUUGGGGUUCAUCCUGCCACGGCUCCAGCGCCCCACACCGCCACCGGCCGGGGGCCGCCUCGCUGUCCGCCUCGCCCCGGCUGCCGGGAGGGGGCGAGUCCUAGCGGCGCCGCAGCUCCCGCCUCGCCCGCGGGCCCCGGCCCUGCCGCCCUGCCGCCCGCCCGCAGCAGCGCGCUCGCAGCGGCGGCGCCUCCCCUGGCCCGGCGAGGACGGAGGGAGGCGGAGGCGGCGCGGGGCGGGGAUCCCAGGUGAUCGGCGGCGGCGACACCCACUCGCCGCACGGCGCCUCCGCACGGCACAGGUGUGAGGGCGGCCGGGUCUUCGCAGCGACGCUCAGCCUCGCGUCUUCCCACCGAGUCGAUGCAGACUCCCGGCCGGCUCCGCCGUCUCCUCGCCCGUCUGUUAUCCGAGCGCCUGUCAGUGUGCGCGGCGCCCGGCCGGGCCGGGUCUCCCCGCCCAGCCCAACCCAGCCCCGCUCCUCCCGCUGCCACCACCGCGCUGCCGGGCCGGGCCCGCCCCGCGGCCUGACAGCGCCGCCGCCCCGCGCCGAGGAGGCCCCUUGCGGCGGCCGCGCGGAGGGAGGAGGGGGCGGCCGCGCCGCCAUGUUGGGAAGGUCAGGCGAGGGGACGGCGGCGGAGCGCCGCAGGCAGCGCGGGUUUGAGCCGGGCCGGGUAGAGCUGCGGCACGGCGGGAACACGAGGCCCUCCGCCUUCUGCCGCCCCGAGGCUGAAAAGACGCACGGCGUGCUGCCUCCCGAAGCGGGGUGAGAGCCGGCCCCGGGCAGCAGCCGGGUGGGGGGAGAGGUGGAAGCGGGGCUGCACCGAGCACGAGGACCGCGGGGCACUCCGGGCAACGCUGCGGCUCCCUCAGCUCCGGGGGAGCGGAAGGGACAUUGGACUGGGAUGCGGUCAGUGCCUCGUGAGGGGAUAAGGCCGCGAGUUACAGCGCUGACAUGUGAAACUAAACACUGAUGUUGAAGAAGAGGAGCAACAUAGCAAAAAGCACAAGGUGCUGCCACACUGCCGACAAACAACCGCCGGAGCAGCCCCUUCAUGCCUUUGUGACCCGCUGCUGCUUCGCCCCCCGUUUCCUCUCCCAAGAGCAGAGCUCUUCUCUCGGAAUAACGGCAAUAAAUUUUGUCUCCGCUCUCAGUUUGGGAGAUGGGGAGUCGCCCUGUGUAAACACGGCCGUGCGCGGCGGUGCCUGCGGGAGAGCCUGGCUGAGAGCGCCCGGAGCUGGAAGGGCUCUUCCCGGCACUCCGGAGCUCGCAGCCUCGACUCACGUGCCGCCUGGCAGCCGGGCUGCGGGCUUCAGCCUUCCUUUGCACUCCCUGCUUGGCUGCGAGGAGGCUGAGGCAGUGUCCUUGGUGCUGGCUUGCUCCUGCCUGCCGACGCUCGCCGGGCUGCGGGAGUUCAAGCGGCAGCUACGAGCGCUCGCGCGUUCCCUCUCUGGCUGUUGAAACCAAUGCUGUGGUUAUGCAAGUGUUCCGGCUCUGCUUUGCUGACAGAGUUUGUCAGCCGUGGCCCAGGUAUUGCCAUACGGCAGCCGGUGAGAAACAGCGCCGGGAUUGUGCAAGGCCUGGCUGCUCAGCUCCGACGUCCCGUGCGUCCGGCAGUGGCGUGGGCCUCGUCCUCAGAAGCGCACAGCGUGAAUUAGACAGCAUAACACACGCUUGUUUACCAGCUUAAUUGCUCGAGUUUAAUUGCCUGGGAAGCUAUCCCAGAUGCAGAGUGCGCUGAAGCCACAGUAUUCAGAUAAAAAUUAAUUUAAAUAAAUCUUAAAAAUGCUAGCGUGCUUGCUGGUAAGCCAGGAGUUGAUCGAAUGAUGUUUUGAAAAAUAGAUCUUCAACAAAUAAAAUUUGCCAAAAUCCACAGAGGAAAAAAAGUACUGAAAGAACGGUAUGUGUUACACAUUGCAGUCACAUUCCUACCACAUUCUAGGCCAAGCACCUUUGCAGAGGACGUCAGCUCCUCACUGCUAUCUUUCUGCAGUCCCUUUCCUCUUCAUGGUCUCUCCUCACCAGAUCUUGCAAGCACACUGGGAAAACAAAGGGCAAUUACAUGCCACAUUUUCCUGCCUUCUCUUCUCCAGCUCCUUUUGAUUUUAGAACUGGAAUAAAAAAUUGAUGCCUUCUAUACUCUCCAAACCAAUCCAAACUCCCAGUUUCUUCCAGCUUAAACUGCCCGGUCCCUUUCACUACUCGUCUCACCCCUAACCUCUUCCUGCUCAUUGGCUCCUUCCUCUGUCAGCACAAGUGUGCUGUGAUCACUCCAUGCACAAUGCAAAUUGCUGCUCUGCUUUCAUUCUUCUCUUCAUCUACAUUACCUUUGCGUUGAAAGCUUACAGCUAUUGUUUAAAGCUCUUCUUCCAAUUUUUGAUUGUUUCCAGUCUGUCUUUUACUACUUCACUAAGACUGCAUAAAAUCUCCAGCAACUUGUUAUACUUCACUGGACUUCAAGGUCUUAGCUGUUUCUUGACUUUCUUUGCUGCUUAAAUACUGUCAGACACCCAUACAUCACUGCAUAGGAUGGUUGAGCUUGGCAGGGACCUCUGGAGAUCACUUUGUCCCACCCCUGUGUUCCUUCAGGGCCACUCAGAACAGGCUGCCCAGGCUCACAUCUAGGUGGCUUUUGGAGAUCCCCACAGACACUCCACAACCUCUUCGGGCAGCUUGUGUAGUACAUAUGUUGUCUAGGAGGUUGUACAGGAGGUUACAUGAAGAAGGAAAUUGGCUUUAGCCUCCCAUGAUAAAUAUUAUCUCCCCACUCCUUUCUGAGGCCAUGGAAGCCUGCGUGGCGCCAGCAGAGUUCUCUGCUUGCUCCUUAGCUCGAGGAUUUGGAAACAGAGAGAAGCAAAAACCAUCACUACUACGCAGAAAUCAUGUCUUCUGUACACCUAUACAGUGUAAUCUUUUUCACUGCAGGCUAUUGGAAAUCAACUCCUAUGGGUCAAACACCUUUUUAACAACAGACAGGAGGUGUCAGAUGUUCAGAAUUUAUCUUAAAAACCUUCACACCAUGUUAUCUAUAGCUUUUGCAAAUCCAGUUUCUCCUGGUGUUCUUGCUGUAUCUUUACCUAGUCC
Molecule: long non-coding RNA, 3607 nt
Filed under: Gallus gallus (chicken)
Lineage: Eukaryota; Metazoa; Chordata; Aves; Galliformes; Phasianidae
Source: RNAcentral